CAAAGGUCCUGUGUGGGAUGGGAAUGACUGCUGCCAGAAGAAGCAAACAAGACAAGUCCUGAGGGUCACCUUGCUCUGUGGCCCAAGCUCUUCUGGAGAGUGCCAGGGGGCGUUUCCUGCAGGUGCCCUGGUGACACCAUGUUGGUCCCUUUGCCUUUCUCCAGCCCGAGGCUGCUCCUCUGCUCGCUCUCUCCAGUCUCAUCCCACAGGGAUCCUCUUCUCCCUUCCCUGCUGGCUGCUGCCAAGGAAGGAGGACACAAUUACACCAGGUUUUCAGCUAAAGGAAUGGCAUCAUCUAUGCCCACUGCUCGUUAUUCACCCAACCAAAAUCUAGAGCAAAUGUUGGUUGGGCUUUAAUAAGAACUUGAAAUAACUUUAAAAC
Molecule: long non-coding RNA, 382 nt
Organism: Camarhynchus parvulus
Lineage: Eukaryota; Metazoa; Chordata; Aves; Passeriformes; Thraupidae
Exons: 4
Source: RefSeq, a predicted model, not a curated record